GGCGGUAGGCUUAACACAUGCAAGUCGUGCGAGAAAGUAUCUUCGGAUAUGAGUAGAGCGGCGGACGGGUGAGUAACGCGUAGGAAUCUACCUAGUAGAAGGGGAUAGCCCGGGGAAACCCGGAUUAAUACCGUAUACCUCCUUCGGGAGAAAGAAGGCCUCUCUUUGAAGCUUUCGCUACUAGAUGAGCCUGCGUAAGAUUAGCUUGUUGGUGAGGUAAAGGCUCACCAAGGCGACGAUCUUUAGCUGGUCUGAGAGGACGAUCAGCCACAUUGGGACUGAGACACGGCCCAGACUCCUACGGGAGGCAGCAGUGGGGAAUAUUGGACAAUGGGCGCAAGCCUGAUCCAGCCAUACCGCGUGUGUGAAGAAGGCCUUCGGGUUGUAAAGCACUUUAAGCAGGGAGAAAAAGUUAUAAGUUAAUACCUUAUAACCCUGAUGUUACCUGCAGGAUAAGCACCGGCUAAUUCCGUGCCAGCAGCCGCGGUAAUACGGAAGGUGCAAGCGUUAAUCGGAAUUACUGGGCGUAAAGCGCGCGUAGGUGGUUUGUUAAGUUGGAUGUGAAAGCCCUGGGCUUAACCUAGGAACUGCAUCCAAAACUAACUCACUAGAGUACGAUAGAGGGAGGUAG
This 631-nucleotide ribosomal RNA is filed under the name uncultured SAR86 cluster bacterium. RNAcentral describes it as "bacterial SSU rRNA". It matches the Rfam family "Bacterial small subunit ribosomal RNA", at positions 38 to 664 of the family's 1533-position model. Lineage: Bacteria; Pseudomonadati; Pseudomonadota; Gammaproteobacteria. The record is from RNAcentral.